Molecule: long non-coding RNA, 936 nt
Filed under: Triticum aestivum (bread wheat)
Lineage: Eukaryota; Viridiplantae; Streptophyta; Magnoliopsida; Poales; Poaceae
Description: long non-coding RNA (TAES_LNC026429)
Source: RNAcentral
GGCACCCAUCAGCAUCCAGCAGAAACCAUCGAUCGAUCGAUCGCCGGACACAGCAUCGAUUCUCCUCGCACACGCACAUACGGAUUCAGUCGAUCGAUAGAUAUACGUGAUGGAGAAUGAGAGGAACAACCAGGCUCCACCCCUACCCCCAGGUUAGUUAAUUUCGACCAGUUUUGAUCUCCACGCUCAUGUCUGAAAACCGAGGCUGAACUCACUUCAGUUAGCUGCGGUGUCGUCGUCAGAUGAGAUAAAGAUAGGCUAGCACGUACCCCAAGCUGUUGCUUUAGUUUGCUCAUGCGUGUGCCUUACGUAUGCGUGUGCAGGCUACUACCCAUCCGCGGCUGCGGAGCAACGUCAAGGCGGCGGCGAAAAGGGAUUCAUCCAAGGAUGGUAAGUACGCGCCACCACCAGCUGCUCCAUCGAUCGAUAGCACCUCCUUUGUACUCCCUCCGUUUUAAAAUAGAUGAUCCAAUUUUAUACUAAUUUUAAUAUAAAGUUAGUAUAAAGUUGGGUCAUCUAUUCUGAAACAGAGGGAGUAACUUACUUCAUUGUCGCUGAUCUCGAUGUGUCGUGCUUUUCAGCCUGGCCGCGCUCUGCUGCUGCUGGAUCUGCGACAUGUGCUGCGACUAACUCGCCGGUCGCUGCCGGCACAAGACGUUGGUGCUAGUAUAGACCUAUGAAGAGCAUACACACAGAGAGACUCGUUGCUUAGUUAAGUGUUUGUUUGUUGUUUUAGGUAGUGCAAAAAAUACCCCGCAAAAAAAAAAAGUAGUGCAGAAAAUAACCGAGAACCCAUGCAUGAGUGGUGUCCAUGUAACUUACCGUGCGUAUCGAUAAUUCUACACCUACGAAAGUUCUAUGUAGGGUUACGUAACCUUCCAUAAAAUCCCCCCCCCCCUAUUUUAACCGGGGUGGGCCCCAGCUGCAAAUCCUGGC